GGCGGGACACGUGGUAUCCUGUCUGAAUAUGGGGGGACCAUCCUCCAAGGCUAAAUACUCCUGACUGACCGAUAGUGAACCAGUACCGUGAGGGAAAGGCGAAAAGAACCCCGGCGAGGGGAGUGAAAAAGAACCUGAAACCGUGUACGUACAAGCAGUGGGAGCCUCUUUAUGGGGUGACUGCGUACCUUUUGUAUAAUGGGUCAGCGACUUAUAUUCUGUAGCAAGGUUAACCGAAUAGGGGAGCCGAAGGGAAACCGAGUCUUAACUGGGCGUUAAGUUGCAGGGUAUAGACCCGAAACCCGGUGAUCUAGCCAUGGGCAGGUUGAAGGUUGGGUAACACUAACUGGAGGACCGAACCGACUAAUGUUGAAAAAUUAGCGGAUGACUUGUGGCUGGGGGUGAAAGGCCAAUCAAACCGGGAGAUAGCUGGUUCUCCCCGAAAGCUAUUUAGGUAGCGCCUCGUGAAUUCAUCUCCGGGGGUAGAGCACUGUUUCGGCAAGGGGGUCAUCCCGACUUACCAACCCGAUGCAAACUGCGAAUACCGGAGAAUGUUAUCACGGGAGACACACGGCGGGUGCUAACGUCCGUCGUGAAGAGGGAAACAACCCAGACCGCCAGCUAAGGUCCCAAAGUCAUGGUUAAGUGGGAAACGAUGUGGGAAGGCCCAGACAGCCAGGAUGUUGGCUUAGAAGCAGCCAUCAUUUAAAGAAAGCGUAAUAGCUCACUGGUCGAGUCGGCCUGCGCGGAAGAUGUAACGGGGCUAAACCAUGCACCGAAGCUGCGGCAGCGACACUAUG
RNAcentral lists this ribosomal RNA (800 nucleotides) under Escherichia coli. RNAcentral describes it as "partial 23S ribosomal RNA". It matches the Rfam family "Bacterial large subunit ribosomal RNA", at positions 416 to 1218 of the family's 2925-position model. The record is from RNAcentral. Lineage: Bacteria; Pseudomonadati; Pseudomonadota; Gammaproteobacteria; Enterobacterales; Enterobacteriaceae.